CGGCAGUGACCUGCAACUAUGGGAACGGUGGCUGCCAGCACACCUGCGAUGACACCGACCAGGGCCCCAAAUGUGGCUGCCACGUCAAGUUCCUGCUGCACUCCGACGGCGUGACCUGCAUCGAAACGUGUGCCGUGAACAACGGAGGCUGCGACAGCAAGUGUCACGACGCGGCCACGG
Molecule: long non-coding RNA, 180 nt
Filed under: Anas platyrhynchos platyrhynchos (common mallard)
Lineage: Eukaryota; Metazoa; Chordata; Aves; Anseriformes; Anatidae
Description: lncRNA (ENSAPLG00000026310.1)
Source: RNAcentral